CCUCCGUAGGUGAACCUGCGGAGGGAUCAUUACAGAGUUCGUGCCCUCACGGGUAGAUCCCCCACCCUGUGUUAUUAUACCUUUGUUGCUUUGGCGGGCCGCCCUCGGCUACCGGCCCCGGCUGGUACGCGCCCGCCAGAGGACCCCAAACUCUGAAUGUUAGUGUCGUCUGAGUACUAUACAAUAGUUAAAACUUUCAACAACGGAUCUCUUGGUUCUG
RNAcentral lists this unclassified non-coding RNA (220 nucleotides) under plant metagenome. RNAcentral describes it as "partial contains small subunit ribosomal RNA, internal transcribed spacer 1, and 5.8S ribosomal RNA". The record is from RNAcentral.